GAUGAACGCUGGCGGCAUGCCUAAUACAUGCAAGUCGAACGCAAUCGAAUCUUCGGAUUCAAUGAUUGAGUGGCGAACGGGUGAGUAACACGUAAGAAACCUGCCCUUAGGACGAGGAUAACUAUUGGAAACGAUAGCUAAUACUGGAUAGUAUAUUUGAUCGCAUGGUCGAAUAUUUAAAGAAGCUCUCAAGCUUCACCUUUGGAUGGUCUUGCGCUGUAUUAGCUAGUUGGUAAGGUAACGGCUUACCAAGGCGACGAUACAUAGCUGGUCUGAGAGGACGAACAGCCACACUGGGACUGAGACACGGCCCAGACUCCUACGGGAGGCAGCAGUAGGGAAUUUUCGGCAAUGGGCGAAAGCCUGACCGAGCAAUGCCGCGUGAACGAUGAAGGCCUUCGGGUCGUAAAGUUCUGUUAUUUGGGAAGAACACGUAGUUUAGGAAAUGACUCUACGUUGACGGUACCUUAUCAGAAAGCUCCGGCUAACUACGUG
Molecule: ribosomal RNA, 495 nt
Filed under: uncultured organism
Description: bacterial SSU rRNA
Rfam family: Bacterial small subunit ribosomal RNA
Source: RNAcentral